Xyrichtys novacula (pearly razorfish) is the source of this 2255-nucleotide non-coding RNA. The record is from the annotation of a GenBank genome assembly. Lineage: Eukaryota; Metazoa; Chordata; Actinopteri; Labriformes; Labridae.
GGGUGUCUAACUCGGUGUUACGGUGUGUUUGACCCUAAAUCAAUUUCACGCUGGAAUAUCCCUUUAAAGGUUAUAUAUGGAUGUGGUUUUGGGGCUAAAUCAUGAAAUAGAGUUUUUGUUUCUUGUCCCUGUCUUCAAAGAGCAACUUUUAAAACAGUAAAAAAAAUCAGACACAUGCUCACACAACAACCUUUUAGUGAACAUGAUGCUCUUAAUCUCUCCGUUUGAUGCACACAGUUACUGAAAUGCACAAUCAUAACUCGGCGUGAGCCUGAAUUUAGAAACAUGUGGAUAAAUGUUUUUUGGGGCUGAGUGAACACAGCCAGAGUUUUGAUGCCUCAUGAGAUGUUGCGGUACACCGCCAGAGUUAACAAUUUUGUUUCGCUGAAUUCCUGCUGUUUGUUAGUUUUUGCUCAGUGAAUGGAAGUAAACUCUUGUGUCAGAGUCACAAGAGCAGAAUAAAGGAAUGGAGACCCUCCUCGACUGUCACUGCAGGCCUGACUUUACUCUGAUGCCAACUGCUCCUCCUGGGAGAUGCCAUGUUUGCUGCAAGUAUACAAUUGUAAACUUCAUUAUAAUGACUACUGUGCGCUUGCCAAGCUUUGCUGCCAGCCAGCGGGGGUGUACUGACUUUCUGUCAUUUGAAGGAAUAAACAUUUUAACAGUUAAAUCCCAGAAAGUGACUUUUUUGGGAAAAGGUACAACCACUUUUUUUUUCCUGUUUAGGAAUGUAAAGGAGGAAAAAACUUGGAGGAAGUGGACUGAGAAAAGAGCUGCACGCCCAAAAACCGAGGAAUUUAUUUCUGGACGUUCAAAACAAUUGCAACAGCAACCUGCGGCGAGGCGGCGGGACGAAGACUGAUUUUGAGAAACAAAGAGGGUCUGUGUUUCGAGAGAGAGAGAGAGAGAGAGAGAGAGAGAGAGAGAGAGAGAGAGAGAGAGAGAGAGAGAGAGAGAGAGAGAGAGAGAGAGAGAGAAUAGCUUGUUAGUGUGAGAGUGACCUUUUCCCUCAGGUGUUGAGACGUUUCCUCACUCCUCUGCUGUCUUUAAGAAAAUAUCAGUUCACUCUCACCGUCUCCACUCCUGUGAUCUUCACUAAGCCUCAAUACCUGCCAGAACUUUAUCAGUAAUAUUCAGCCAUAUGAGAAGGCCAUGAUUGAUCGACUGUACUUUUAUAAACACACACACACACACACACACACCCACACACACACACACAGAGAGGGCAGUCUGGCCAGCGCAGCCAUGUAAGUCACCCUCCUUCUUUUAAACCUACAUAAAUCUUCGUUUUAGUAAGUAGUGGCUGUAAAAAAGGUUGAAUGUGAGCCAGUCUCAGAGGCCACUGGCAGUCAUCAGCUUUCAUUGUCUUGAUGCUAUUCAACCAUUGCCAACUUUCCAGUAAUUCAUGUGUAGCCGGUGGUUUGUUUUUAAACUUUUGUCCAUUAUAUCCCAAAAGAAGUGCCUGUCCGUCUGUUUUAAAUCAGUCCAGAUUCAACAAUUGAUAUUAAAACGUACGAUUAUCACACACAGAGUCCUAACUCUGACUCACUCCUGCGGUAUGACCCCCAAAAAGCCGCCCUGUUGUCUUAUUUACUUAUGGGUCUUAAAUCAGGUCAAACAACAGUAUCAUGAUUAAGAUGUGCAGAAAAUAGAGAAAUGUAGACCCAUGUUUGACUUUUUAAUGUCAAACCCAUAGACUGUACAUACUAUGGACAAAUUGGUUCCGCCUUCAGUCAAUAUACGGAUUUGAAGCCAAAAAGCUCUCUGUAUUUCUGAUUUUUCUCCAAUCCUGAAACCAAUAUUGUGCAGAAGUAUGCACUCCAGCAUUAUACGCAUGGCGCUCGGCUCAAACAGCGUAUCCCCCAGUGAGCUACGUAUCUUCGUACACACAUAGGCUGAAUCAAGUGUCAAUCAUGGAAAACAUGAACCCCCUAAUAACUUUUAAAAAAGGAGCUGCAAAGAAAAAAAGAGGACUUGAGCACAAACCAGUCUGACAGUAACUACAUGUCAACAUCACAACAAACAUUUAUACUCUGUGUAAUAAAUUUAUAAAGUUUGUCCACAGCUCCAUAGGAAUUGCUGGAGGAGGCGGGAUUUAUGACCUAUACUGCAGCCCGCCACCAGAGGGUGCUGUUCUCGCAGUGGCUUCACACAGCGAGGAGGCAGACAGCGUUCAUUCUAUAUACAGUCUAUGGUCAAAUAUGGGUCAAACGGUUAAAUUUUAAUUGUUAGGGCCAAUAUGUAACAAUGACCCA